AUGAGCACCAUGGCGAUGUCGGCGCUGAACCCGGACGCGCCCAUGUUCAUCCCGGCGGCGUUCAAGAAGGUGGAGGACUACUCGCCCGAGUGGUGGGAGCUGGUCAAGACCACCGCCUGGUUCCGCGACCACUGGUUCCGCCAGCACCAGCUCUACGAGGACCUCGCCGACGACGUCGACGUGGACGACGUCGCCGCCCUCCUCCCCGACGACUCCGUCGACCUGCUCGACGCCGACGACCUCUUCUACUCCCCGCCGUCGCCCCAGCCCCAGCCCGACUUCUACCACUACAAACCAGCAGGGUUCGGCGGCGACAUGGACGCGGUGCUGAAGACGCUGAGCGUGAACUCGCCGAGGGGCGGCGGCCCGGCGCCAGCCUGGGCGCCGAUGAGGCACGCCGAGAAGCCGGCGCAGCACGUCGGCCCCAGGGCCGGCGGCGGCGCCCGCCGCGCCAUCCACCAGCCGCGCUAG
RNAcentral lists this ribosomal RNA (471 nucleotides) under Triticum aestivum (bread wheat). RNAcentral describes it as "partial small subunit ribosomal RNA". Lineage: Eukaryota; Viridiplantae; Streptophyta; Magnoliopsida; Poales; Poaceae. The record is from RNAcentral.